This is a non-coding RNA of Mesocricetus auratus (golden hamster), 71 nucleotides long. The record is from Rfam. Lineage: Eukaryota; Metazoa; Chordata; Mammalia; Rodentia; Cricetidae.
GGAAAGAUGGCUAAGCAGUUAAAAGCACUGGCUGCUCUUCCAGAGGUCCUGAGUUCAAUUCUCAGCAUCCA